This 468-nucleotide ribosomal RNA is filed under the name uncultured bacterium. RNAcentral describes it as "partial 16S ribosomal RNA". It matches the Rfam family "Bacterial small subunit ribosomal RNA", at positions 28 to 507 of the family's 1533-position model. The record is from RNAcentral.
GACGAACGCUGGCGGCGUGCUUAACACAUGCCAGUCGAACGGAAAGGCCCUGCUUUUGUGGGGUGCUCGAGUGGCGAACGGGUGAGUAACACGUGAGUAACCUGCCCUUGACUUUGGGAUAACUUCAGGAAACUGGGGCUAAUACCGGAUAGGCGCUCCUGCUGUAUGGUGGGGGUUGAAAGUUUUGGGGGGUUGGGGGGGGACUCGGGGCUUCACAGCUUGUGGGGGGGGUGGUGGUUUACCAGGGUUUUGGGGGUUGGCGGGCCUGGGGGGUGGACCGGCCACAUGGGAACUGAGAUACGGCCCGACCCCCUACGGGAGGCAGAAGUGGGGAUUAUGGCACAAUGGUCGGAAGCCGGAUGCAGCAACGCCGCGUGCGGGAUAACGGCCUUCGGUUGUUAAACCGCUUUCGCCAGUGACGAAGCGUGUGUGACGGUAAUGGGUAAAGAAGCACCGGCUAACUACGUG